Molecule: ribosomal RNA, 583 nt
Filed under: Hepatozoon felis
Lineage: Eukaryota; Apicomplexa; Hepatozoidae
Description: SSU rRNA
Rfam family: Eukaryotic small subunit ribosomal RNA
Source: RNAcentral
AGAAAUAACAAUACAAGGCAGUUAAAAUGCUUUGUAAUUGGAAUGAUAGAAAUUUAAACACUUUUUAAAGUAUCAAUUGGAGGGCAAGUCUGGUGCCAGCAGCCGCGGUAAUUCCAGCUCCAAUAGCGUAUAUUAAAAUUGUUGCAGUUAAAAAGCUCGUAGUUGAAUUUCUGUUAAAAAUAACCGGUCUGCUUUUAAUAAAAGUGGUAUCUUGGUGUGUUUUUAGCAAUAAUGUCCUUUGAAAUGUUUUUUACUUUAUUGUAAUAAAUAAUAUUCAGGAUUUUUACUUUGAGAAAAUUAGAGUGUUUCUAGCAGGCUAACGCUUUGAAUACUGCAGCAUGGAAUAAUAAAAUAGGAUUUUAGUUCUACAUUAUUGGUUUUAAGAACUAAAUUAAUGAUUGAUAGGGACAGUUGGGGGCAUUUGUAUUUAACUGUCAGAGGUGAAAUUCUUAGAUUUGUUAAAGACAAACUACUGCGAAAGCAUUUGCCAAAGAUGUUUUCAUUAAUCAAGAACGAAAGUUAGGGGAUCGAAGACGAUCAGAUACCGUCGUAGUCUUAACUAUAAACUAUGCCGACUAGAGAU